Molecule: non-coding RNA, 314 nt
Organism: Hydra vulgaris (swiftwater hydra)
Lineage: Eukaryota; Metazoa; Cnidaria; Hydrozoa; Anthoathecata; Hydridae
Source: RefSeq, a predicted model, not a curated record
AUUAUUUAACAGUUAUGAAGAAAUUAAAAUUCUAAAGUAUUGAGAUAUUGGUAAGUUGUACUUAGCGUUACUUCUAUGGUGCUUUCUGUUAUCAAAAAGAAUCCUCUAACUUUACUAAAUCCCAAGAAAAAGCGAGCAAAACCAAAAAGAUUAUAUAGAGCUUGUCCCGAUUUUUACAGAGAAGAGCGCAACGCUAAACUAAUUAAAAUUGAAUUUUUUAUAGCGUUAUUUUGCGGAAAAACCGGAACAAUUGCAGCCCUAUAUAUAGAUGAAUUUGUAUUUACCUUUUACAAAUAUCUGAAGUUAAUUUGUUA